UUAAACAUAUAAUAUUGUAUUAAUGCACUGUAAACCCGAACAGUGUUAUUUAUUUGAAAAACAAAGUACUCUUUAUUCAAAAUGUGUUAAAUAGUUCCACAAACUUAAGUUUUAAAGUCUUCUUAACCUCUAACAAGGAUUUAAGUUAGCAGAAAUUGUAUUUUUAAUUUGUUUAAACUAAAAUUAAGGUUUUGAGUUAACUUUAGGUAACAGAUUCAGUAAUAAUUAUAUUUUUCAAUUUGUAACAAACGCCCUCUAGUGGCGGGUUUUCCUCAUUAGUGACGUCAUAAACAAACGUUUAGAACCCGCAUUUUCCACCAUUAAGGUGUGUCCUCGCUUCUCUUCUCACCGACUGGAUUCAAAAGUAAGUUAUUUCAUGUUUAUUCAGAACUUGUGUUGUUAUUUUUUUAAAUAUGUGAAAUUACACACAUUAAAUUAUCCAUAUACUGUAUGUGUUAAUGUUUCAUAAAUAUCCCAAACAAGUACUUGUUGUGACUGGCUGGUUUAGGUGAUCGAACUAUUUAUUGCAUAUACAGUUUACAGAGUUUAACUUCAGUUUAAUGACGAUAUUUGAGAAUAUUGAUGGUAAAAAGUACCGCAACAGUUAUCCAAAGAGCAUUUUUGUUGGUUCACAGGAUGGUAUUUUCAUUAACUGACACAGUGUGGGAAUAAACAGCUCUUUUGGGAUCGAUGGUUUUGGGGUAAAAAAAAAAUCACAUUUAGAAACAUUUUAUUAUUGAGAAUUUUUGUUUAGUAAAGUAAGUGAUUUUUUUUUUUUUUUUUUUUUGUGAUUUUAUUAAGUUUUAAUUAGUUGCUGUUGUGUAAAUGAACUGCUAACUUAUGUUAUUUUUUUUUCACAUUUUCUUAAGAAUAUUGAGAGCUCAGAGCACUUGACUGGACUUGUUUCCCGCCCAAAAUUUAAAGUGGAAGAAGUAGUUUGCCAUUCACAUGGUACAAGUUCCCGAGGUCUAUACUGUUUCAGCACAUUACAAACCAGAAUCUUCCAAACACGUUCUAUGUAGAACUUGACCGCCACAGUUUUCACCUGAUGACUUUAUAUCGUCAGAAGGCAUCAAAGACAGGAAAGACUUCUGAUGCACUUGCUGACAUUCUCAGGAUUCAUGACUUGAAGGAUCAACAUGAUAUUCGUAAAAGGGAAAUCACUGUGCUUUGUGCAUUUCUGAGAGAAGACACCUCAAGAUUCUUCAAAACAUGCAUACUGUUGCCCUGUUAGCAGCCAUCAGAGAACUCACAGAUCCUGCAAUUCACUACAAUCUGGUCAGAAUUUCUGUUGUUCUCAAAAAAUGAAGUCAUUACCUACCUGCCCAGGCUUUCGGAUGGCAUUCGGAACUUUUGGACUGAUCUUUGCAUUGGAUUCGAGUUACCCAAAAGAGAUGGCCAACCUUUUUCAAUUUCACUUGUUAUGUGAAAUUACACAAAGAGACUGGACAGCUUCUUUUGUAGCAGUUGCUGUAUCCAAUUAAGUGUAGUACACUUUUGAAAUCUUAAAUUAGAAGCUGCUAGAGUUUCUAAGUCAUUUUCAGAGUUCAAAGAAAUAUUCUGGAUUCAAUACAAAUGAAGUUCAAUUGAUAGCAUUUGUUGCAUAAUGCUGAUUACCACAAAAACAUAAUUUCAAUAUUUUUUUUUAAUAAAAAAGGAGGGACAAAUAUAAUUUUUUUUUGUGGUAAUCAACAUUAUGCUAUUAAUGCUGGCAAGCAUAACUUGUAUUGAACCCGGAAUAUUCCUUUAAAGUGUAAAAGACAUGUUUUAAAAUGGUUAAAGUUAAAGGAGGUGCAAUAUCAGUUCAGCUGUAGACAGUUUAUCUUAGUUAACUAUACUGCUGCUAAGUUUGUGUUUUUCUGUUUAUGACUUGUCUCUUGUCAGCAUGCUUUCAUGUUAUUCUUUAGAUAUAUGAAUGAGCUGGUUGCUUGUCUGUCAAAUGUCUUAAAUGUUCAUGUUGUGCCUCAUGUUUUAUCAAUAUUGUACUCCUUGUCUUUUUGCAUUAAAUUUUCAGGAUAUGUUUACUGUAUGUAGUUUGCUUUUUUUGUUGUAAAAUUAUUAUAAGUUGUAAUCAGUUGCCACAAAAUUAAGUAACAUUACUUCAGCCUUUAAAGUUAAAGAAAAAUGACUUUAAAUAAUUAACUUAAUACAGAGUAUAUUCAUGAUUUUAAAACGUAAUUUUUUAAAGUUAAGUAUUUCAGUUAAGUUUGCAGUACUUUAAACUUAAUACAUUUGUAAACACAUAUUUUGAUUAGAGUAAAAUCAAAAUGUUAAAUUUAUAGUCCUUCAGAAAAACAAGUUAUCCAUGCUUUAGUCUUAUACAUUUUGAAACUUAAAGUAGAGGCAAUCAAUUUUUGAGUUAGUAGAACUUAUCCGGGUUUACAGUGUGCAAAUAUCCAUCAAGCUUUGUUAUUGCUCAGAUAACUUUUCUUUGGAUAAUACUAACAGUAUAUUUGUGACUGCACUUUAUACUUUGUGUUAGUAAUGCACUUUUGCUCUCACAGGAUGUGUUCAACUCAUUCUUUGCAGCAGCAUGGAUGUUUAUUCUCAGUAUAGUAGCAGUUUCUACAUAUACAGUAAAGGGCACUCUGAGCGGAGGGAUUGUGGGCUUUGUGGCUGCAGCCUUGUGGUGCUUGGAUGGCUAUAUGCUUUU
RNA transcript from Myxocyprinus asiaticus (Chinese sucker), 2653 nucleotides. It is a transcript of the gene named chemokine-like factor, with no coding region annotated. The record is from RefSeq and is a predicted model, not a curated record. NCBI's taxonomy places the organism in Eukaryota, Metazoa, Chordata, Actinopteri, Cypriniformes, Catostomidae. The transcript has 5 exons.